This 1445-nucleotide ribosomal RNA is filed under the name uncultured organism. RNAcentral describes it as "SSU rRNA". It matches the Rfam family "Bacterial small subunit ribosomal RNA". The record is from RNAcentral.
AUGAACGCUAGCUACAGGCUUAACACAUGCAAGUCGAGGGGCAUCAGGAAGAAAGCUUGCUUUCUUUGCUGGCGACCGGCGCACGGGUGAGUAACACGUAUCCAACCUGCCCUUUACUCGGGGAUAGCCUUUCGAAAGAAAGAUUAAUACCCGAUGGCAUAAUGAUUCCGCAUGGUUUCAUUAUUAAAGGAUUCCGGUAAAGGAUGGGGAUGCGUUCCAUUAGGUUGUUGGUGAGGUAACGGCUCACCAAGCCUUCGAUGGAUAGGGGUUCUGAGAGGAAGGUCCCCCACAUUGGAACUGAGACACGGUCCAAACUCCUACGGGAGGCAGCAGUGAGGAAUAUUGGUCAAUGGGCGCUAGCCUGAACCAGCCAAGUAGCGUGAAGGAUGAAGGCUCUAUGGGUCGUAAACUUCUUUUAUAUAAGAAUAAAGUGCAGUAUGUAUACUGUUUUGUAUGUAUUAUAUGAAUAAGGAUCGGCUAACUCCGUGCCAGCAGCCGCGGUAAUACGGAGGAUCCGAGCGUUAUCCGGAUUUAUUGGGUUUAAAGGGAGCGUAGGUGGACUGGUAAGUCAGUUGUGAAAGUUUGCGGCUCAACCGUAAAAUUGCAGUUGAUACUGUCAGUCUUGAGUACAGUAGAGGUGGGCGGAAUUCGUGGUGUAGCGGUGAAAUGCUUAGAUAUCACGAAGAACUCCGAUUGCGAAGGCAGCUCACUGGACUGCAACUGACACUGAUGCUCGAAAGUGUGGGUAUCAAACAGGAUUAGAUACCCUGGUAGCCCACACAGUAAAACGAUGAAUACUCGCUGUUUGCGAUAUACAGUAAGCGGCCAAGCGAAAGCAUUAAGUAUUCCACCUGGGGAGUACGCCGGCAACGGUGAAACUCAAAGGAAUUGACGGGGGCCCGCACAAGCGGAGGAACAUGUGGUUUAAUUCGAUGAUACGCGAGGAACCUUACCCGGGCUUAAAUUGCAGUGGAAUGAUGUGGAAACAUGUCAGUGAGCAAUCACCGCUGUGAAGGUGCUGCAUGGUUGUCGUCAGCUCGUGCCGUGAGGUGUCGGCUUAAGUGCCAUAACGAGCGCAACCCUUAUCUUUAGUUACUAACAGGUUAUGCUGAGGACUCUAGAGAGACUGCCGUCGUAAGAUGUGAGGAAGGUGGGGAUGACGUCAAAUCAGCACGGCCCUUACGUCCGGGGCUACACACGUGUUACAAUGGGGGGUACAGAAGGCAGCUAGCGGGUGACCGUAUGCUAAUCCCAAAAGCCUCUCUCAGUUCGGAUCGAAGUCUGCAACCCGACUUCGUGAAGCUGGAUUCGCUAGUAAUCGCGCAUCAGCCACGGCGCGGUGAAUACGUUCCCGGGCCUUGUACACACCGCCCGUCAAGCCAUGGGAGCCGGGGGUACCUGAAGUACGUAAAAGCAAGGAUCGUCCUAGGGUAAAACUGGUGACU